This 253-nucleotide ribosomal RNA is filed under the name uncultured bacterium. RNAcentral describes it as "partial 16S ribosomal RNA". It matches the Rfam family "Bacterial small subunit ribosomal RNA", at positions 524 to 776 of the family's 1533-position model. The record is from RNAcentral.
UACAGAGGUCUCAAGCGUUGUUCGGAUUCAUUGGGCGUAAAGGGUGCGUAGGCGGCUUUGUAAGUCAGUGGUGAAAUAUGGCAGCUUAACUGUCAAGGUGCCAUUGAUACUGCGGAGCUUGAGUACAGAUGAGGUAGGCGGAAUUGACGGUGUAGCGGUGAAAUGCUUAGAUAUCGUCAAGAACACCUAUAGCGAAGGCAGCUUACUAGGCUGUAACUGACGCUGAGGCACGAAAGUGUGGGGAGCAAACAGG